Molecule: long non-coding RNA, 685 nt
Organism: Nicotiana tabacum (common tobacco)
Lineage: Eukaryota; Viridiplantae; Streptophyta; Magnoliopsida; Solanales; Solanaceae
Source: RefSeq, a predicted model, not a curated record
UUUAGUUUUCUAUUCAAGUUAUUCGUUUCAAUCAACCAACUUUCGAGAUUAGAAACUGCAGCUUUAUCUGCUAAUUAGUUACUUUCUCAUAUAAGGGCAUAUGAAUUGUUCGUAUUAUACGAAUCUUCGAAAAAAUGAGAUGUCGGCAAAAAUUGAUGAACAGAGAAAUUUUCAAUAUUCGAGCUUUACGAUGAUGAAUUUCUGGUUACGAAACUCUUAGCCAAGUUUACUCAAAGCAAAAUGAUGUGGACAUGUGUUGAUCAAUAUUUAUCUCGGAUUCUCAGAGAAUAGUUCCAAUUUUCUGAUACAAACUGCUCCUAUAUCUAUGAUUUAGCGACUUCAAUGGUAUCCUCUGUGAAUCCCCUAUGUACUGAAUUUAUAGGUGAGGGUGAUAAGAUGUUGAUACAGUAGAAAAAAAUUAAAUGGGGAAAGAAUCAAAACUCUAGGAAAUUUUGAAAAAAAAAUCUGGGGUUAAAAAGGAUUUUGCUUGGUUAUUCUUGUGGGAUUCAGUAUCCUGUGAAAAGGGCUGCAAAUUUUAAGGGGUGCGAGAAAUCAAAAGGGAAAGAAAGAGCAAGGUAAAAGGUUAAAGGAAAAUAAUAAGGAAAGGAAGACAGAAAUGAGAACGGAAAAAAAACAAUUGCCCCGCCAUCUUUUGUUAAUGUAAUAUACUUUUGAGCUUCUUAAA